Salvia splendens (bonfire salvia) is the source of this 1350-nucleotide long non-coding RNA. RefSeq lists it as uncharacterized. The record is from RefSeq and is a predicted model, not a curated record. The transcript is spliced from 5 exons. Lineage: Eukaryota; Viridiplantae; Streptophyta; Magnoliopsida; Lamiales; Lamiaceae.
UUGAAAAUUGAAAUUGGCGGCGAUAACCAAACGCCUCCUCAAUCUCCACUCCACGCCAAUUCUCAUCCUCCUACGACCCCGACGAUCAAUCUCAAACGCCUCCUUCAGUCUCCUCCAGCCUCAACGAUGUCAAAGCCACCCUCCAAAAUCGCCACCCUCCUCGCAGCCCUGUCUCAUUUCCCAGCGGUGGUCCCACGGACGAGAUGCGUCAGCGCCUCUCGGAGUUCCGCUCCCGCACCGCGCCGCCGCCGAGUUCCGUCGAUAAAUACGUUUCGCUGCACGAGCUCUAAGAGAAGAACAUCAAAUCCAAGGGUGAAAACUCCGGCGAUCGGUCUAGUAUCGGUGCCGGUGACGGUAAUCACUCACUCGAAUCCUUUCGCCCAAGCUUUGGAAGGAAGCCCUUUGAUUCGUCGGCGAUUUCGAAUUUUACCAUGGGUUUGAGGACGAAAGCUGCCCUGGAUGGGAGAGGAAAAAGUAUGGGAUUUGGGAGGAUUCAUGAUCGCUCGGAAUUGGGGAAGAGGCUACAGGAGAUGAGACCAGUGAAAACGGAAGGGGAAGUGGUUUUCGUUGCAGGAAAUGAGCGAGAGGCUUGCUAAGGUCAGGGAGGCUCAGCAUGAGGAGAUGGGGAACAGGGCAGGACUCCCGCAUGUAGUUGCAGAUGGUCUUUACAAAAUACACAAGGACAGUCUCCAAAAGGAAAAACAGAAAGGGCCGCUUGUGAGUAUUAAUAUUUUGGGUUCCAUGGGUGCGGCCCUAGAUGAGAAGAUAGCAGGACCCCCAAAAGAUCAUUUAAUUGAGAAUUAUUAAACGUGUCAUCUGCUGAGAAACUGAAGUUGGAGAUUGAAAAAGUAAGAGAUGAAUUUAAAAUGUCCGAGUCGGAUUGUGGUUCCCCUCGUGUUCAAGUGGCUCAAUUGACAACAAAGAUUAAACAUCUGUCAACUGUUUUACAUAAAAAGGAUAAGCAUUCUACACGAGGUUUUCUAGCAAUGGUUCAAAGGAGGAAGAAGCUGUUGAAAUAUCUCAGACGGACUGACUGGGACUCGUACUACUGCCUUGUUCUCUCGAAGCUUGGUCUCCGUGAUAACCCUGAUGUUAAAGCAUAGGCAACUGCUAAUGGAAAGUGAGUUUUCAGGUUAGAAAUUUCUGUAGUAGAUUCAGCAGCGAUUGCCUUGGUUUUAUUUUCUUGGCAACACUUUGUUGGAACAACAGAAAUAAUUUUGUUUUCUUUCUGGAAACCUGAGAUUUAGUCAACAUGGAUGUGGGGUGUAAUUUUAGCCCCUCAAAUCUGGAAAUUCUCAGUCAUCCAAUAAUGUAAAUUUUGGUAUAGUUCACACUUUGAAAUUGAUUCUA